UGUUUGAAACUUGGGC
RNAcentral lists this microRNA (16 nucleotides) under Chiloscyllium plagiosum (whitespotted bambooshark). RNAcentral describes it as "microRNA PC-3p-805242_1". The record is from RNAcentral. Lineage: Eukaryota; Metazoa; Chordata; Chondrichthyes; Orectolobiformes; Hemiscylliidae.